RNAcentral lists this unclassified non-coding RNA (221 nucleotides) under Hevea brasiliensis (rubber tree). The record is from RNAcentral. Lineage: Eukaryota; Viridiplantae; Streptophyta; Magnoliopsida; Malpighiales; Euphorbiaceae.
UCGGCCCCGUAGAGCCUCACUUUCUGUAUUGACGUCGAUUGUAGAAGCUUAGCGGUGGCAGCCGGUGGCGGAAGGUUGUCAGCAACUAAACCAUAGUUAAUGCCAAUAAAUGACUGCGACCUGGCUAUCAAGAAGAAAGCUUGAAGGAGGAGACAGAGAAAGAUAAGUCUUGAAAACGCCAUGUAUCUAGUUCUUGUUAUUUCUCUUUCUCGUUACUGAUG